This 502-nucleotide ribosomal RNA is filed under the name uncultured Glomus. RNAcentral describes it as "SSU rRNA". It matches the Rfam family "Eukaryotic small subunit ribosomal RNA", at positions 569 to 1074 of the family's 1831-position model. The record is from RNAcentral. Lineage: Eukaryota; Fungi; Glomeromycota; Glomeromycetes; Glomerales; Glomeraceae.
AGCAGCCGCGGUAAUUCCAGCUCCAAUAGCGUAUAUUAAAGUUGUUGCAGUUAAAAAGCUCGUAGUUGAAUUUCGGGGUUAGCAGGUUGGUCGUGCCUUCGGUAUGCACUGGCUUUGCUGAUUCCUCCUUCUUGAAGAACUGUGAUGCUAUUAAUUUGGUGUUGCAGGGAAACAGGACUGUUACUUUGAAAAAUUAGAGUGUUUAAAGCAGGCUAACGCUUGAAUACAUUAGCAUGGAAUAAUGAAAUAGGACGUUUGAUCCUAUUUUGUUUGUUUCUAGGAUUGACGUAAUGAUUAAUAGGGAUAGUUGGGGGCAUUAGUAUUCAAUUGUCAGAGGUGAAAUUCUUGGAUUUAUUGAAGACUAACUACUGCGAAAGCAUUUGCCAAGGAUGUUUUCAUUAAUCAAGAACGAAAGUUAGGGGAUCGAAGACGAUCAGAUACCGUCGUAGUCUUAACCAUAAACUAUGCCGACUAGGGAUCGGAUGAUGUUAAUUUUUAAUGA